AUUUCUUGGGUAGGGUUGGGAUUCAAUUUUCUCAAUUUGGGGAUUUCCAGAUUCCGAACAGCAGCUCCUUCCAAACUUCUCAAUUCCCGAAAAUACGAGAGGUGAAUUUUUCAUUUUUAUUAUUUGUUGUGUUCUUCUCUUGCGUGAGUAUCAAUCUUCUUGGUAUAUAUAUAUAUAUAUAUAUAUAUAUAUAUAUUUUCCGAUCCGAUUGGUUUAUUUUUGUGUUCAAUUCUUGGGUUUGUCUGUUUUGUCCUUGUUAACCCCCAAAUUUCUUUUUCUUUUUUUGGCAUUUUGGUAAGCUUGUUGAUCGUCGUGUGGUGCGACAGUUUUCAGAAUUCGUGCUUUUUGUUUUUUGUUCUUUUGAUUUUUAAUUUUUCGAUUUUAUGUGUCUUUUUAAUUGAUUUCUGAGUGCAACUACAAUUUGGGAUUCUUAACCUUUUCUACUUUCUAAUUAGGGUUUUGGUAAAGAAAUCUUUUUAUUUGCCUAAUGCAUGUGUUAAUUAACAACACAUCUACAAUCAAUUUGCUCCAACCUGGGAGAAUCAUAAAUUUUCAUUUGCUUGUUUUAUGUGCAAUGGUGAGUAUUUAAACUAGAUUUUUUAGCUCAAGGGGAAGGAAGAAAAUGGGAAGAUAAAAAUUAAAAUUACGGAGCUGAGGGUUCUGUCAAGUUGAUGCCUUCAAACUUAUGUUUUACUAAUUGAUGCCUUGAAAAUUAGAGUUUCAAUUUUUGGUACUAAGAAAUAAUUUUGCAAUGCUGGUUAUAUUCCCCAAUGAGCUACCUUUAGAUGGUGUUAUCAAGUGUUUUACUCCCUUCAAAGAUCAAGGAUGAGAUUCGUGUUUGGGUGCUUGAUUGUUACUUUUGACAUUGAAUUUUAUAUCAGCCUUUACAGACUCCUUUUUCUUGUAUUAGACAGAACUUGUAUUGCUAUAGCCCAUAUCGGUCGGCGAGUUUUGUGCAGUUUGAGACACUGAGUGCCACAUAUUUAUGAUAUUCAAUUAAAUUGAACAUUAACUCAGGGACUCGCAUAUUGUAGUCAAGCUCGCAUGCCCUGUGAUAUGUAUAGAUAAAUUACAUUAUGUUGUAAAUAUAUAAGGUGGAGCUCACCUCCAAUUGGAAGGAGCUUUGCCUACAAAAGGGUUCACUCUUCUCUUUAUAAUGCCAGAUUGAUAAUACUAAGAGAGGAACCAAUUCAAGGGUUUUUCUCUACUUCUAAAUUCUCUCUCAAAUUUCUUGGUUUUCUAACACGUUAUCAGCACGAAAAGCUUUAUUUUAUCGCACAUUUAUUUAUACUACUAACCAUUGUAUAAUAUAUAUAUAUAUAUAUAUAUAUGAAAAGUUGAUGGUAAUAUAAUAUGCUAUAUCUAUUUACUUUUCUAUUACUAACCACUAACAAAAAAUGGACCUUUGGUAAUACUAAACAUAUUAUCAGUGGGAGACCGUUACUAAUACUAACAUUUUUUUUAUUUUAUUUGGUGGUGGUUUUAACCCCUUAUUUAUUUUAAUUACUGUAUGGUGUAGUUUUAUUACCCAUACGACAAUAUUUAUUUAAAAGGGUGGCGCGGGUUUAUCGUCCACGCCUUUCUUUUUAUUUAAGAUAUGGUGCGGAAUUAACGUCCAUAUAGCAAGUAAUUUAUUUUAUCGCACAUUUAAUUUUAUUUAAGAUAUGGUGCGGAAUUAACGUCCAUAUAGCAAGCAAUUUAUUUUACCGCACAUUUAAUUGUAUUUAAGAUAUGGUGCGCAAUUAACGUUCAUAUAGCAAGCAAUUUAUUUUAUCGCACAUUUACUUUUACUUAAAGUAUGAUGAGGAAUUAACCCUCAUACUUUAUGAAUUUACUUUACCGCACAUUUACUUUUAUUUAACGUAUGAUGCGGGUUUAUCGUCCAUACAAGCAAUUCAUUUACCAAUAAUUUAAUUUACAAGCAAUUUAUUUUAUGGAUUAAUUGUGUUGUAUGAUGAGUUUUUUUUUACAAGGAUACAGAUCAAAACCAGAAGUUUCUUGAUCCUCAUCAUACAAUUACAUCAGGACUUGAAGAUCCUUGAUGAUGAUAUUGAUAUGAGAGCUAGCAGUCUCUCCAGUACUAUAUUUGUAAACAUGUGAUCGGACUUGAGGGUCCUUGAUUCUUGAUAUGUAAAUAAGGACAUGGGGUUCCUUAAAUGAUGUAACAAUACUAUAUUGGUUAAUAGUGCCGUACACAUAAAAAUAACUGUAUUGGCAAAUGUACUGUACACAUGAAUAGUGCCAUAUACAUAAAUAGUGAUGUAUGCAUAAAUAUUUACCAUUUUGGGUAACUGUCACUAUUCAAAAGGGAACCUGCAGUUCCUUAAACUCAUGGAUGAGCAAUUAAAUAAGAUGUCAGAAGUUCCUCAAGAUAUGGACAAUUAUGUAAGGGCUUGAAGUCCAGAAAUAUGUACAGAAAAUUGUAAAAAUGUCCAUACCAUGAGAAUAUGUGAUUUUGGCUUGAGGUUCAAAAUCUAACAGUAUUGAGAACCUGAAGUUCCAACAAUUAAAUGGACAACCCUUGAGUUAUUAUUGGAAAUUGUGGUACGCCACAUAUUUCUUUGGCAUAAGAGAAUGAUGAAUUUAAUAAAGUUCGAUUCUG
Molecule: long non-coding RNA, 2602 nt
Filed under: Prunus persica (peach)
Lineage: Eukaryota; Viridiplantae; Streptophyta; Magnoliopsida; Rosales; Rosaceae
Description: long non-coding RNA (PPER_LNC005646)
Source: RNAcentral